This 509-nucleotide ribosomal RNA is filed under the name uncultured bacterium. RNAcentral's name for it is "bacterial SSU rRNA". It matches the Rfam family "Bacterial small subunit ribosomal RNA", at positions 28 to 534 of the family's 1533-position model. The record is from RNAcentral.
GAUGAACGCUAGCGGCAGGCCUAAUACAUGCAAGUCGAACGAAUCUAGUUCUUUCGGGAACUAGGUUAGUGGCGCACGGGUGCGUAACGCGUAUGCAACUUACCUUCCACAGGGGGAUAGCCCACCGAAAGGUGGAUUAAUACCGCAUAACACCUUUUCCUGGCAUCAGGAGAUGGUCAAAGACUUAUCGGUGGAAGAUGGGCAUGCGUGCCAUUAGUUAGUUGGUAGGGUAAUGGCCUACCAAGACUUCGAUGGCUAGGGGUUCUGAGAGGAUGGUCCCCCACACUGGUACUGAGACACGGACCAGACUCCUACGGGAGGCAGCAGUAGGGAAUAUUGGGCAAUGGUCGAGAGACUGACCCAGCCAUGCCGCGUGCAGGAAGAAGGCCUUCUGGGUUGUAAACUGCUUUUUAUCUGGGAAGAAAACGCCCUUGCGAGGGUAACUGACGGUACCAGAUGAAUAAGCACCGGCUAACUCCGUGCCAGCAGCCGCGGUAAUACGGAGGGUG